GUGCUUACCAUGCAAGUCGAGCGGUAAGGCCCUUCGGGGUACACGAGCGGCGAACGGGUGAGUAACACGUGGGUGAUCUGCCUCGCACUUCGGGAUAAGCCUGGGAAACUGGGUCUAAUACCGGAUAUGACCAUGGAAUGCAUGUUUUGUGGUGGAAAGAUUUAUCGGUGCGAGAUGGGCCCGCGGCCUAUCAGCUUGUUGGUGAGGUAACGGCUCACCAAGGCGACGACGGGUAGCCGACCUGAGAGGGUGACCGGCCACACUGGGACUGAGACACGGCCCAGACUCCUACGGGAGGCAGCAGUGGGGAAUAUUGCACAAUGGGCGAAAGCCUGAUGCAGCGACGCCGCGUGGAGGAUGACGGCCUUCGGGUUGUAAACUCCUUUCGACAGGGACGAAGCGAAAGUGACGGUACCUGUAGAAGAAGCACCGGCCAACUACGUGCCAGCAGCCGCGGUAAUACGUAGGGUGCGAGCGUUGUCCGGAAUUACUGGGCGUAAAGAGCUUGUAGGCGGUCUGUCGCGUCUUCUGUGAAAACUUGGGGCUCAACCUUAAGCUUGCAGGCGAUACGGGCAGACUAGAGUACUUCAGGGGAGACUGGAAUUCCUGGUGUAGCGGUGAAAUGCGCAGAUAUCAGGAGGAACACCGGUGGCGAAGGCGGGUCUCUGGGAAGUAACUGACGCUGAGAAGCGAAAGCAUGGGUAGCAAACAGGAUUAGAUACCCUGGUAGUCCAUGCCGUAAACGGUGGGUACUAGGUGUGGGUUUCCUUCCACGGGAUCCGUGCCGUAGCUAACGCAUUAAGUACCCCGCCUGGGGAGUACGGCCGCAAGGCU
This 834-nucleotide ribosomal RNA is filed under the name Nocardia sp. RNAcentral describes it as "bacterial SSU rRNA". It matches the Rfam family "Bacterial small subunit ribosomal RNA", at positions 44 to 895 of the family's 1533-position model. Lineage: Bacteria; Bacillati; Actinomycetota; Actinomycetes; Mycobacteriales; Nocardiaceae. The record is from RNAcentral.